Molecule: ribosomal RNA, 468 nt
Filed under: uncultured bacterium
Lineage: Bacteria
Description: partial 16S ribosomal RNA
Rfam family: Bacterial small subunit ribosomal RNA
Source: RNAcentral
GACGAACGCUGGCGGCGUGCUUAACACAUGCAAGUCGAACGGAAAGGCCCUGCUUUUGUGGGGUGCUCGAGUGGCGAACGGGUGAGUAACACGUGAGUAACCUGCCCUUGACUUUGGGAUAACUUCAGGAAACUGGGGCUAAUACCGGAUAGGAGCUCCUGCUGCAUGGUGGGGGUUGGAAAGUUUCGGCAGUUGGGGAUGGACUCGCGGCUUAUCAGCUUGUUGGUGGGGUAGUGGCUUACCAAGGCUUUGACGGGUAGCCGGCCUGAGAGGGUGACCGGCCACAUUGGGACUGAGAUACGGCCCAGACUCCUACGGGAGGCAGCAGUGGGGAAUAUUGCACAAUGGGCGGAAGCCUGAUGCAGCAACGCCGCGUGCGGGAUGACGGCCUUCGGGCUGUAAACCGCUUUCGCCUGUGACGAAGCGUGAGUGACGGUAAUGGGUAAAGAAGCACCGGCUAACUACGUG